CCUACGGGAGGCAGCAGUGGGGAAUAUUGCACAAUGGGGGAAACCCUGAUGCAGCGACGCCGCGUGAGUGAAGAAGUAAUUCGUUACGUAAAGCUCUAUCAGCAGGGAAGAAAAUGACGGUACCUGUGUAAGAAGCCCCGGCUAACUACGUGCCAGCAGCCGCGGUCAUACGUAGGGGGCAAGCGUGAUCCGGAUGUACUGGGGGUAAAGGGAGCGUAGACGGCGCGCCGAGUCUGGCGUGAAAUGCCGCAGUUUAAUUGGGGAAUUGCUUUGGAUACUGGCGAACUAGAGUGCGGGAGGGGUAGGCAGAAUGCCAUGUGUAGCGGUGAAAUGCGUAGAGAUGAGGAGGAACACCGGUGGCGAAGGCGGCUUACUGGAC
This 379-nucleotide ribosomal RNA is filed under the name uncultured bacterium. RNAcentral describes it as "partial 16S ribosomal RNA". It matches the Rfam family "Bacterial small subunit ribosomal RNA", at positions 338 to 734 of the family's 1533-position model. The record is from RNAcentral.